UACAGAGGGUGCAAGCGUUGCUCGGAAUUAUUGGGCGUAAAGGGUAGGUAGGUGGUCUUAUUUGUCUAGGGUGAAAUCCUUGAGCUUAACUCAAGAAGUGCCUUAGAAACGGUAAGACUAGAGUCUUGGAGAGGGUCGUGGAAUUCCCGGUGUAGCGGUGAAAUGCGUAGAGAUCGGGAGGAACACCAGAGGCGAAGGCGGCGACCUGGACAAGUACUGACACUCAACUACGAAAGCGUGGGUAGCAAACAGG
RNAcentral lists this ribosomal RNA (253 nucleotides) under uncultured bacterium. Its description in RNAcentral is "partial 16S ribosomal RNA". It matches the Rfam family "Bacterial small subunit ribosomal RNA", at positions 524 to 776 of the family's 1533-position model. The record is from RNAcentral.